AACAUUACAUUUGAUACAGAUUCACAUAUAGUUGGUAAAUGUAUGAGUUAAUCAUGUAUUGUGAUUUUCAAGGCAAUUUCAAGAUACAAACAAUAUAAAAAAAAUCUUCAUUGGAAUUAUUUGAGUUUUUAGAUCUUGUGUAACCCUGCAUUCAUAAAUUAUACUCACAUUUUAUGUAAUUUUUUAAGAAUAAAUAAAUAAUCAAGUGAUUUUGGUGUUUUUUUCUACUUUAUUAGUGUAUGUAUAUAGUGUAUAUUUACUUAAAUUCUGUAGAUUUGUGUAUAAGCAAAUCUUGUAUUUUUUGUUUUAUUAGUGUAUUCUAUCUAUAUUAUUUAUUGCUUUUAUCUCUUCAC
This is a long non-coding RNA of Sphaeramia orbicularis (orbiculate cardinalfish), 353 nucleotides long. RefSeq lists it as uncharacterized. Lineage: Eukaryota; Metazoa; Chordata; Actinopteri; Kurtiformes; Apogonidae. The transcript has 3 exons. The record is from RefSeq and is a predicted model, not a curated record.